GGACUACUGGGGUAUCUAAUCCUGUUUGCUCCCCACGCUUUCGUGCAUGAGCGUCAGUGUUGGCCCAGAAGGCUGCCUUCGCCAUUGGUGUUCCUCCACAUCUCUACGCAUUUCACCGCUACACGUGGAAUUCCACCUUCCUCUGCCACACUCCAGCCACGUAGUUUCGAGCGCAAUUCCCAAGUUAAGCCCGGGGCUUUCACACUCGACUUGCGCGGCCGCCUGCGCACACUUUACGCCCAGUAAUUCCGAUUAACGCUCGCACCCUACGUAUUACCGCGGCUGCUGGCAC
RNAcentral lists this ribosomal RNA (292 nucleotides) under uncultured bacterium. RNAcentral's name for it is "partial 16S ribosomal RNA". The record is from RNAcentral. RNAcentral also lists the same sequence under 1 other name.